GUACACCAGAGCAGCGGGACCGGGCUCAGAGGAGAUAACGCGGAAGAUAGGAGUGUCUGAUCCUCCUUCACACCGGCAUUUCUCCCGGCCUUUCAGCAACGAUACGGCAGACACAUAUUCAGGAGCGGCCCGCGACUGAGAUGGAGAGGACUUUGUCAUCAGUGAGCUCCGCAUACGGAAGCUCCCCGAAGUUGAACACCUCCCACAUGAGCACUCCAAACGACCACACGUCUGUCUUAGUUGAGAAAUCAUCUUCAAACACAGCUUCAGACGGGAGCCAGCGCAGAGGAAUCCAAGACUGCCGACAUCUUUGCUGAGGCCUAAGGCAGACACUUUGACCUGUCGUUUGGAUGAAAUGAGACAGUUGCGAGCAGCAAGGUCUCGGUGGACAAAGCGCUGAUUGGACAGAUGCUCCAUCCCUCGAGCCACCUGCAAACACACCGACACCUGCAGAAAGACAGUGUGUACUGCUUCAAAUCACCCUAGAGAUGAGACACAUUAAUGUGAAUGCAAUUAUAAAUUAUAAAUAAUAUUAAUGUAAAAGCGGUUGACGAUGGAUGGAUGGAUUAAUGUAAAAAAAUUGUAUAGUACAUAAAGAUAUGUAUAAUUCUGUUAUUUGUGACUUCUGAAGACCGGUCACAUUGUGUUCAAUACAGAAAAUGAUGGAGAAAGCCCUUUUAAAUGGCUCAU
Xyrauchen texanus (razorback sucker) is the source of this 690-nucleotide long non-coding RNA. RefSeq lists it as uncharacterized. The transcript is spliced from 4 exons. The record is from RefSeq and is a predicted model, not a curated record. NCBI's taxonomy places the organism in Eukaryota, Metazoa, Chordata, Actinopteri, Cypriniformes, Catostomidae.